RNAcentral lists this ribosomal RNA (303 nucleotides) under Xenorhabdus szentirmaii. RNAcentral's name for it is "partial 23S ribosomal RNA". It matches the Rfam family "Bacterial large subunit ribosomal RNA", at positions 2623 to 2925 of the family's 2925-position model. RNAcentral also lists the same sequence under 3 other names. The record is from RNAcentral. Lineage: Bacteria; Pseudomonadati; Pseudomonadota; Gammaproteobacteria; Enterobacterales; Morganellaceae.
GAGACAGUUCGGUCCCUAUCCGUCGUGGGCGUAGGAAAUUUGAGAGGAGCUGUCCUUAGUACGAGAGGACCGGGAUGGACGCACCGCUGGUGUACCAGUUGUUCUGCCAAGGGCAUAGCUGGGUAGCUAUGUGCGGAAGGGAUAAGUGCUGAAAGCAUCUAAGCAUGAAGCCCCCCUCAAGAUGAGAUUUCCCAUAGCGUAAGCUAGUAAGAUCCCUGAAAGAUGAUCAGGUUGAUAGGUUCGAGGUGGAAGCAUGGUGACAUGUGGAGCUGACGAAUACUAAUAGAUCGAGGACUUAACCAU